This 481-nucleotide ribosomal RNA is filed under the name uncultured bacterium. RNAcentral describes it as "partial 16S ribosomal RNA". It matches the Rfam family "Bacterial small subunit ribosomal RNA", at positions 28 to 507 of the family's 1533-position model. The record is from RNAcentral.
GAUGAACGCUGGCGGCGUGCUUAACACAUGCAAGUCGAACGAAGCACUUUAUUUGAUUUCCUUCGGGACUGAUUAUUUUGUGACUGAGUGGCGGACGGGUGAGUAACGCGUUGGUAACCUGCCUUGUACAGGGGGAUAACAGUUGGAAACGGCUGCUAAUACCGCAUAAGCGCACAGCAUCGCAUGAUCCAGUGUGAAAAACUCCGGUGGUAUACGAUGGGCCCGCGUUGGAUUAGCUAGUUGGUGAGGUAACGGCCCACCAAGGCGACGAUCCAUAGCCGAGCUGAGAGGCUGACCGGCCACACUGGGACUGAGACACGGCCCAAAAUCCUACGGGAGGCAGCCGUGGGGAAUAUUGCACAAUGGGCGAAAGCCUGAUGCAGCGACGCCGCGUGAGCGAAGAAGUAUUUAGGUAUGUAAAGCUCUAUAAGCAGGGAAGAUAAUGACGGUACCUGACUAAGAAGCACCGGCUAAAUACGUG